UACGUAGGGGGCAAGCGUUGUCCGGAAUCAUUGGGCGUAAAGCGCGUGUAGGCGGUCCGGUAAGUCGGCUGUGAAAGUCCAGGGCUCAACCCUGGGAUGCCGGUCGAUACUGCCGGACUAGAGUUCGGAAGAGGCGAGUGGAAUUCCCGGUGUAGCGGUGAAAUGCGCAGAUAUCGGGAGGAACACCUAUGGCGAAGGCAGCUCGCUGGGACGUUACUGACGCUGAGAACGCGAAAGCGUGGGGGAGCAAACAGG
RNAcentral lists this ribosomal RNA (255 nucleotides) under uncultured bacterium. RNAcentral's name for it is "partial 16S ribosomal RNA". It matches the Rfam family "Bacterial small subunit ribosomal RNA", at positions 524 to 776 of the family's 1533-position model. The record is from RNAcentral.